RNAcentral lists this small nuclear RNA (140 nucleotides) under Callithrix jacchus (white-tufted-ear marmoset). Its description in RNAcentral is "U4 spliceosomal RNA (ENSCJAG00000082462.1)". It matches the Rfam family "U4 spliceosomal RNA". From Rfam's summary of the family: U4 small nuclear RNA (U4 snRNA) is a component of the major U2-dependent spliceosome. Lineage: Eukaryota; Metazoa; Chordata; Mammalia; Primates; Cebidae. The record is from Rfam by way of RNAcentral.
AGUUUUGCACAGUGGCAGUAUCGUAGCCAAUGAGGUUUAUCUGAGGCACGAUUAUUGUUAACUGAAAACUUUUCCCAAUAUCCCCUCAUGACGACUUGAAUAUACUCGGCACUGGCAAUUUUUGACAGUCUCUAUGGAGA